This 322-nucleotide ribosomal RNA is filed under the name uncultured eukaryote. RNAcentral describes it as "partial 18S ribosomal RNA". It matches the Rfam family "Eukaryotic small subunit ribosomal RNA", at positions 1470 to 1796 of the family's 1831-position model. The record is from RNAcentral.
CCCUUAGAUGUUCUGGGCCGCACGCGUGCUACACUGGGUGGAUCAGCGGGUCAGGUUGCGCGAAAGUGUUUCCUAAUCUUGAAAUCCGCUCGUGAUGGGGAUUGACGGUUGCAAUUUUCCGUCAUGAACGAGGAAUACCUUGUAAGCGCGGGUCAUCAUCCCGCGCUGAAUACGUCCCUGCCCUUUGUACACACCGCCCGUCGCUCCUACCGAUUGAGUGGUCCGGUGAGGCUUUGGGAUCUGAGCAAAGAGAGCGUUUCGCUCGUUUUGCCCGGAAAACUCAGUCGAACCUUAUCAUUUAGAGGAAGGAGAAGUCGUAACA